Melanotaenia boesemani (Boeseman's rainbowfish) is the source of this 94-nucleotide long non-coding RNA. RefSeq lists it as uncharacterized. Lineage: Eukaryota; Metazoa; Chordata; Actinopteri; Atheriniformes; Melanotaeniidae. The record is from RefSeq and is a predicted model, not a curated record. The transcript has 4 exons.
GCUUUGAGAGCACCGCUACAGAUACAGAGGUACAAAACACUCAGGAGGACCACUGCCCACCUGUGUUCACCAGGGCAGAUGUGUGCAGACUUUA